This 420-nucleotide ribosomal RNA is filed under the name uncultured bacterium. RNAcentral describes it as "partial 16S ribosomal RNA". It matches the Rfam family "Bacterial small subunit ribosomal RNA", at positions 361 to 773 of the family's 1533-position model. The record is from RNAcentral.
AUUUAGGAUAAUGGGGGCAGCCCUGAUCCAGCCAUGCCGUGUGUGCGACGAAGGACUNNNGGUUGNAAAGCUCAUUUGCUUGGNAAGNAAUGGCCCCGGCCAAUACGUGGAGCUGCUGAUGGUACCUGCAGAUUAAGCACUUGCCAAUCACGCCCCAGCAGCCCCGGUAAUACGUAGGGUGCAAGCGUUAAUCGGAAUUACUGGGCGUAAAGCGUGGGCAGGCGGUUCGGCAAGAAGGAUGUGAAAUCCCAGGGCUUAACCUUGGAACUGCAUUCUUAACUGCCGGGCUAGAGUAUGUCAGAGGGGGGUAGAAUUCCGCGUGUAGCAGUGAAAUGCGUAGAGAUGCGGAGGAAUACCGAUGGCGAAGGCAGCCCCCUGAGAUAAUACUGACGCUCAUGCACGAAAGCGUGGGGAGCAAAC